Molecule: ribosomal RNA, 433 nt
Filed under: uncultured bacterium
Lineage: Bacteria
Description: partial 16S ribosomal RNA
Rfam family: Bacterial small subunit ribosomal RNA
Source: RNAcentral
AACGAACGCUGGCGGCAGGCCUAACACAUGCAAGUCGAGCGGACCCUUCGGGGUUAGCGGCGGACGGGUGAGUAACGCGUGGGAAUAUGCCCUUCUCUACGGAAUAGUCCUGGGAAACUGGGGGUAAUACCGUAUACGCCCUUUGGGGGAAAGAUUUAUCGGGGAAGGAUUAGCCCGCGUUGGAUUAGGUAGUUGGUGGGGUAAUGGCCUACCAAGCCGACGAUCCAUAGCUGGUUUGAGAGGAUGAUCAGCCACACUGGGACUGAGGCACGGCCCAGACUCCUACGGGAGGCAGCAGUGGGGAAUCUUAGACAAUGGGGGCAACCCUGAUCUAGCCAUGCCGCGUGAGUGAUGAAGGCCUUAGGGUUGUAAAGCUCUUUCAGCUGGGAAGAUAAUGACGGUACCAGCAGAAGAAGCCCCGGCUAACUCCGUG